This 815-nucleotide small RNA is filed under the name Arabidopsis thaliana (thale cress). RNAcentral describes it as "ATSL280960". Lineage: Eukaryota; Viridiplantae; Streptophyta; Magnoliopsida; Brassicales; Brassicaceae. The record is from RNAcentral.
AUUUUAUCUAGUUCGAUUUGUCAUUUUCCUUACCAAUUAACACAACACAUAACAUAUAUAGAUAGAUUCACAUUAUAAAACAAAGACAAAACGACGUCGUUUUCUUAACGGUUUUCUUAACGGGUGUGGGAUUAGUCGAGUAAAUCACAAUAGCGGUAUAAUAAACGCGGAUUUAUGGUUAAUCUCGGUUUAAUGACCGGUUCAAUUGGAAUCAUAUUUUUAAGGAUGAAUCUGAAAGUACAUGUUGCAAUUUUAAGAAUUAUCAAAGUUUAUGGUGGAAAUUUCAGGAAUAAAAAGUGUGUGGGGGGGGGAAAGCUGAGAAUGCAAUUAGUUUAUGGCUAUAAAAUCAGUCAACCCUUUUCUUAACGGAUAUAGGUGAUUAAUCGGGUAAAUCGCAAUCGCGGUACAGUAAACGCGAAUUUGUGGUUAAUUCCGGUUUAAUGACCGGUUCAAUUGAAAAUGUAUGUUUAAUGAUGAAUCCGAAAGUACAUGUUGUAAUUUAAAGAAUUAUCAAAGUUUAUGGUGGAAAUUUAAGAGGUAAAAAGUGUAGGGGGAAAAGCUGAGAAUGCAAUUAGUUUAUGGCUAUAAAAUCGGCCAACCCGGUAAUAAUUAGCUAAAACUAUUAAAAAAACUUAAGUCGUUCAUAUUUAUGUUCAAAUUUAGCAAAACCAUUAAAAGAAUUUAUUGGUUUAUAUUUAUGUUUCGAUUUAGCUAAAACCAUAAAACGCUUAUCUAGUAAUUUUAGGAAAAAACGUCUUCCACACAAAAUAAUUAUAAAUACUACAUGUUGAUGUCAUUGUUACUUCAAUAAAGGG